GGAGGUCAGGGCCUGGGCUUACAGAACCCGAACUUGUGGUCCCUAACACCUCCUAUCACCGUGGGGGGCUCCAGGCAGCACCCCCACCCUCCUUCCAGGCCAGGGGCUCCUCCCAGGACAUUCCAGCCUCAAUGCUGGCUGGGAGCCCGAACCCCCCCUCCUGGGCAGGUCCACCCCUCAACCUCCUUGGUUUCUUCCUUCAUCCAUGGGGAACAACCCAGAGAGAGAGAGAGAGAGAGAGAGAGAGAGAGAUGAGAGCGCGAGAGUGAGCGCACCAGCAGGGGGAGCAGCAGGCAGAGCCAGAGGGAGAGGCCGACUCCCCGCGGAGCCUGAGCCGGGAGCCCCACCUGGGGACUCGAUCCCAGGACCUCGGGAUCACGACCUGAGCCCAAGGCAGACGCUUCACCAUCGGAGCCCCCCAGGCGCCCUGAGAAAUCUUAUUUUGAUGUCAUGUUUUUAACCAAGUCAAGCCAAUGGAAAAACACAACAACAACAACAACAACCCACAGAUACAUUUUCAAAAUUUUUAAUGAGGGCAGAUCAGUCAUCCUGAUUUUUCCUUUGGGCUGGGGCUCGCACAGGGCUUGCUGCGGCACCCUGAUCCUGCCUCGAUGGGACACCCUACGAUUCCGUCCAUCCUGGAUUUGGGGGGGGCAUCUGUUUGAGUCAAACUGUCACAUCAAAAUAUUUGUCUCACUCUGGGCCAGUGGUGAUGGUUGCACAGCCUGGUCACUCUUCAAAGCCCUCUGAGCUGGACACCAGCUCAGCUAAAAGCGGGCUUGAUGGUUUGUGAAUUAUAUCUCAAUUUAAAACAUGAGAGAAAAAAAAAAAGACUA
Canis lupus familiaris (dog) is the source of this 836-nucleotide long non-coding RNA. RefSeq lists it as uncharacterized. The record is from RefSeq and is a predicted model, not a curated record. NCBI's taxonomy places the organism in Eukaryota, Metazoa, Chordata, Mammalia, Carnivora, Canidae. The transcript is spliced from 2 exons.